CAGCAAGUGAUGCACAAACUGCUCACUUAUAUCAGAACACAGACAGGAAAGAUUUAUCAUAGACGGUCUGAGAUGAAAGAAAAGGUUUUCACACAAAGAACAAAUCAGUCAGUAAUAAAUUUGCUUUUUUUUUUUCUUUUUUUACACCUUGAGUUAUUUUAAACAAAAGAUCUAAAUAUUCCAGUUGAGGAGUCUGAUUUCUGAAGGACUGAAUCAAAUAACCCUCUGGAAGAAGUGACUUCUGGCUAGCACUCUGUCUAAUUCAUUCUAUCAGUGCAUGCUUUAAUGCUCUGUAUAGGAAACUGACUUAGUCCAAAACUGGUCCUCUCUGCUCUAUAAAUUGAAUCCACUGAUGCAUAAUUGAGCCCUUGACUGUAUCACAUACCUGCUUCACCAGAUUCUCUUUUUGCUUACUUGCUAUAUUUACUGGGUGAAAAACGUUUGGCUUUUUUUCCCCUCCAUAAUUAGAUAUGGAAUGAAAAAUUGUGUGGCCUAAAACUAUGAGGCACUGAGCACCUCUGGACCCCUGCUGAAGUUGAUAACAUUUGAUGCAUGUCAAGCAGCACCUCUGAUAAAUACUUCUCCUACUACUUCUUCAUUUCUCUCAAUAUGUCUUAAACAAGAUUUGCUGGAAGAAAAAAAAAUAUGCGUGCAUGUUGAAACAGUAAUUGCUUCUGGUUCUGGAAGGACAAAAACCAGGCUCACCUCAUAUCAUCCUAUAAUUCUGUUUAUUGGGAUCCUUACUGGCCUGCUCUCAGGGAAGCAGUCUAGUAGGGGCUGGAGCUUUUUAGGCAAGUCCAUUCAGCAUUCUGAUCUGUCAAUGGAUUUUGCACCAUCCGGAGUACUCACCGUGUCACACACCAUAGAUAUUUAAUCUGUAAAUUGAGAACUCAUCUUUAAUUGAUGAAUAAAUGUCUCACAGGGAGGUUGAUUUCCUUUUUUCCUCUGUAUUAACAGCAUAUCUUUUUUUUUAAUCAUUAAAAGAGAAGCAAAACCUCUGCACUGGAAAGAAGAAGUCAUGACAGACAAAAUUCAGUGAGUAGGAAAAGUUUAAUGUACAAUAACUCACAGCUAAACUCUUCUGGAAGAGCUAUGCCUGUAUCAAGCUCCACAUUUCACAUAACGAAGUUUGCCACUAGGAAGUCUCCCCUAUCAAGUUUUAAAUCAUAAAUGAAUAAUCCAUGCUUUUGUAUUGUUUUUGUUGUUGUUGUUGUUAUUAAAA
RNAcentral lists this long non-coding RNA (1222 nucleotides) under Gallus gallus (chicken). RNAcentral describes it as "lncRNA (ENSGALG00010025018.1)". The record is from RNAcentral. Lineage: Eukaryota; Metazoa; Chordata; Aves; Galliformes; Phasianidae.